Molecule: ribosomal RNA, 505 nt
Filed under: Klebsiella pneumoniae
Lineage: Bacteria; Pseudomonadati; Pseudomonadota; Gammaproteobacteria; Enterobacterales; Enterobacteriaceae
Description: partial 23S ribosomal RNA
Rfam family: Bacterial large subunit ribosomal RNA
Source: RNAcentral
CGGUACAGGGUGAUAGUCCCGUACACCAAAAUGCACAGGCUGUGAACUCGAAGAGUAGGGCGGGACACGUGGUAUCCUGUCUGAAUAUGGGGGGACCAUCCUCCAAGGCUAAAUACUCCUGACUGACCGAUAGUGAACCAGUACCGUGAGGGAAAGGCGAAAAGAACCCCGGCGAGGGGAGUGAAAAAGAACCUGAAACCGUGUACGUACAAGCAGUGGGAGCACCUUCGGGUGUGACUGCGUACCUUUUGUAUAAUGGGUCAGCGACUUAUAUUCUGUAGCAAGGUUAACCGUAUAGGGGAGCCGCAGGGAAACCGAGUCUUAACUGGGCGUUAAGUUGCAGGGUAUAGACCCGAAACCCGGUGAUCUAGCCAUGGGCAGGUUGAAGGUUGGGUAACACUAACUGGAGGACCGAACCGACUAAUGUUGAAAAAUUAGCGGAUGACUUGUGGCUGGGGGUGAAAGGCCAAUCAAACCGGGAGAUAGCUGGUUCUCCCCGAAAGCU